This 73-nucleotide transfer RNA is filed under the name Pteropus alecto (black flying fox). It matches the Rfam family "tRNA". Rfam says of the family: Transfer RNA (tRNA) molecules are approximately 80 nucleotides in length. Their secondary structure includes four short double-helical elements and three loops (D, anti-codon, and T loops). Lineage: Eukaryota; Metazoa; Chordata; Mammalia; Chiroptera; Pteropodidae. The record is from Rfam by way of RNAcentral.
GGUUCCAUAGUGUAGCGGUUAGCAUGUCUGCUUUAUACGCAGAAGGUCCUGGGUUCACAUCCCGGUGGAGCCA